This 922-nucleotide long non-coding RNA is filed under the name Homo sapiens (human). RNAcentral's name for it is "HSALNT0365950". The record is from RNAcentral. Lineage: Eukaryota; Metazoa; Chordata; Mammalia; Primates; Hominidae.
AGUCCCGGAACAGGUUGUGUGAGCCUCUUCAGGGGUUCAUCCAGCGCUGUUUUGGAGAAAUCUCUAUUUCAAUUUAUUCCUAUACGUUAGUUACUGAAAAACAACAGACAAUCGCAAAAGCAAGUUGCCCGUUUUGUGUUCCUUGAGCCCAAUCAUGAAGUGCCGUCGUGACUGGGCCUCAUGACAAACAACUUGUAACAAGUAACAACAGAGCUCAGGUCCCAGACCGCACUGAAGCUCUGUGAGACCUCUCCUCAUCUGUGCAUGAACGAGUGUCUGACUCUGGAGCCCAGCCUGCUGCUUCCCAGUCUGGUGGUGAAUCCUCCGUAGUCUGAUGGAGGUUUGCUCUUGUUGCCCAGGCUGGAGUGCAAUGGCACAAUCUCGGCUCACUGCAGCCCCUGCCUCCCAGGCUCAAGCAAUUCUUACGCCUCAGCCUCCUGAGUAGAUGGAACUACAGAUGCUAAAAUUGACACCAAAAGCGUAGGUGAUGAGCUUGAAUCAGGUAAGAAUUAUAUUCUACUUCCAGCUAAAGAAGAGGAUAUAGAAGAUCAAUAGCUUAAACAAAACAGAAGGGCAUGGACUGGAACUCCCAAUACCCCUGACAUGGGCUGAGUCAACGUGGUCAUGAACAUGUGACAGGAGGCAGCAGAAGUUGCAGAGAAGAGUGAGGCACGUUUGAAAAAGGCUGAAAAAUGUUUCUGUCCAGGCAAGGGUGUGUGCUGAAUGACUCAAGGAUUUUUUGGUGCAUUGAAUGAACAGCGGGACAUUGGACACCUGCUGAUCCAUCACCCCGGGCCCGGGCAGGCCCGUGGAUGAAGAGAGAUGGAGAAGACCAGGCAUGAGACUGUGGAGAAGCCACACCACCAGAAACCCCUGCCCCAUGCGCCGUCCAGCCCACACCUGUGGAUGCACGGGGGAUUGC